AUGAAACCUGUCUCUACAAAAAAUACAAAAAUUAUCCGGGCAUAGUGGUGUGUGCCUAUAGUCCCAGAUACUUGGGAGGCUGAGGCAGGAACAUCACUUGAGCCUGGGAGGUCGAGGCUUGCAAUGAGCCAUAUUUACACCACUGCACUCCAGCCUGGGUGACAGAACGAGACCUUGUCUUAGAAAAGAAAAAAAAAAGUGGAUAUAGAAACACCACCCAAAUGUGUGGUUGUUAGGAAAACACUGGGGUUUAGGGUGUAGCUUAUUAUCCCAAGAAAUCCAAGUUUAGAAGUUGAAAAUUGCAUGGCAUUAAUUUUUUAUUUUUUUAGAGACAGGGUCUCUGUCACCCAGGCUGGAGUGCAGCAGCAUGAUCAUAGUUCACUGUACUUUGAACCUUGAACUCCUGGGUUCAAAGGAUCAUCCUGCCUCAGCCUCCCAAGUAGCUGGGACCACAGGUGCACGCCACCAUGCCGAGCUAAUGUUUUGUAUUUUUAAUAGAGAAGGGGUUUCGCCAUGUUACCCAGGCUGGUCUCAAAACUCCUGAGCUCAAGCAAUCUGUCCGCCUCACCCUCCAAAAGUGCUGGAAUUACAGGCGUGAGCCACCACACCUGGCCUGCCUGGCUAAUUGUGUUAAAAUUUUUUUAUAGAGAAGGGGUCUCUUUAUGUCUUCCAGACUGAUCUUGAACUCCUGGCCUCAAGCAAUUCUGCCUUGGCCUCCUGAAGUGCUGGGACUACAUAUGUGAGUCACCCACCCUGCAGGCUUUUUUUUUUCUUUUUGGACAGGGUCUCACUCUUUUGCCCAGGCUGGAGUGCAGUGGCUCAAUCUUGGCUCACCGCAAACUCCACCUCCCAGAAUCGAGCGAUCCUUCUACAUACAGGCAGGCGUAUUUUGAGGCCCCAACUCUGCUCAAUCCUGCAAGAUCAACUCUAAGAUUCCCAUAUUUUUGAUUUGAAAGACCCAUCUUAGUUCAUACCGAACGUUGCCCUUUGGCUCUUAGGGACUCAGUUAUUGCUGUGCUCCUAGUUUGAUGAAUUGGUAGCGUGAAAGGAAAAUAAGCCUCGGGACACAAAAAUCACUACGCCGACGGGAAAGUCAAGCUGGGAACUGCAUCAGGUAAAACUGCCUCCCAUUUUAUUUCUAAAUGAGAUAGCUGCAAAGAUAAAAAAGCGACGUACCUCCCUCACAAUGUGCCCACGAGGAAAUUCCUUUACUUUACUAUAAAACAUCUUUACUAUAAAACAGUUACUCAACAUCUUUACUAUAAAACAGUUAUGAUGAAUUUCACCCUGGCAAUGUAAAUUGAUGGCUCGUCUUCACAGGUGCGGGAGAGACAGUCAUCCCACUGGCCACCUGAGACAAAUGCAUAUUUGAUUGCUUCCUCUGCC
This 1386-nucleotide long non-coding RNA is filed under the name Homo sapiens (human). RNAcentral's name for it is "HSALNT0003339". Lineage: Eukaryota; Metazoa; Chordata; Mammalia; Primates; Hominidae. The record is from RNAcentral.